This 24-nucleotide non-coding RNA is filed under the name Arabidopsis thaliana (thale cress). Lineage: Eukaryota; Viridiplantae; Streptophyta; Magnoliopsida; Brassicales; Brassicaceae. The record is from RNAcentral.
GUGGUACUCAGAAUAAAUGGAUGG